CCCCCCAGACUAGCCCAGAGGCUUGCUUGCCCCCCCCCAUUUAACUCCUGCCUUAUAACAACAGAAUUCUAGAGCCACUAGCUCUAUAGAGAAAUUCUCUCCCUGUUUCUGGGGAGGCUCUUCUCAUGGAAUUGGGGCACAUCAAGAUUUGCUCUCAGAGGAGGUCCAAUCCAAGAUGGAAGCUAGCCAUCUUGGCAGGAAGAGAAAGCUGUGCUCACAGCCCCCAACCAACAGGUUCAGUCCUUGCUGAGCCUAAAGCCUGGAAUAAGCCCAGGAGUUUCCCUGGCCCUGCCUCCAGAGCCACAAGUGUGCCACAGGGACUGUCACAGGCCUCGGGCAGCCAUUAUUAGACAAGCAGAGCUGAAGCUGGAGCCCCCACUGAGAGUCGAUGGAUAGUGACGUCAACGCUGACCUCGCUCCUGCCGCAGUCUCCCUCCUUCCAGCCACAGCCCAGUUUUGGGGAGCCCCUGCCCCGGCUGCAUUUACCUUCCCCACUAGCCCUCUCCCCCUGCUUCCUUCCUCCCUCCCUCCCUCCUCCCACCGCUGCUGCUCCGGACUAGAGCUGUCAGGGGGGCUUAUUAACCGCUGCAAUCCCGGGCACCAGGCUCGGAGAGAGAGAACUACAGGGGCCGCCAUUGAUGUCCCAAGACCAGCCCCUCUAUCCCUUCUUAAACACCCCUGGGCUUCCUGUAUUGUCAUCCAGCAGUGCCGCCUUAUUGUCCUUUCUCACAGUGCACUCUCCCUUUCUUUCUAGGUGUCCCUGUCAUGGGAGACUGAGCCAUUUGCUUUAUACUCUCAUUAAGGGAAAGAACUUGACCAUUUUCUCCUAUAUUCUCUGUUCACAUGACUCUGGAGUCUCAUAUAAAGAAUAAUGUAAACUUCUGAA
This is a long non-coding RNA of Monodelphis domestica (gray short-tailed opossum), 886 nucleotides long. RefSeq lists it as uncharacterized. NCBI's taxonomy places the organism in Eukaryota, Metazoa, Chordata, Mammalia, Didelphimorphia, Didelphidae. The record is from RefSeq and is a predicted model, not a curated record.